UCUGCCUGGUAACAGCUGACGAGCAGGUCAUGUGAUGUGUUCUCUGCUUUUUAGAGCCGCUCUCAGUCAGACUGUGUCAGUGUUUGUGAAGUGAACAGAGGAACAUGGCUUCAUCCUUUCUCAGCUUCUCCCUCCUCUUCAUCAUCAGCCUCUACACAGCAGAUGGAUUCCGGAGUUAUGACAUAGAUCGCUGUGUGUUUAACUCCACUGAUCCGAAGAACAUCGAGUACAUCUACUCUCAAUAUUACAACAAGUUGGAGUUCACCAGGUUCAGCAGCAGUGUGGGAGAGUUUGUUGGUUACACUGAGUGCGGAGUGAAACAGGCUAAAUACUUUAACAGUGAUCCUUCAAUACUGGCUCGGAGGAGAGGUGAGAAGGAGAGGUACUGCCUGAACCACGUUAACACUUACUACCAGGCUGCUCUGGAUAAAUCAGUUAAGCCCUAUGUCAGACUGCACUCGGUGGCGCCCCCUGCUGGUAAACAUCCCUCCAUGUUGGUCUGCAGCGUCUACGACUUCUUCCCCAAACACAUCAGAGUGAGCUGGCUCAGAGACGGACAGGAAGUCACCUCUGAUGUCACUUCCACUGAUGAGCUGGCAGACGCUGAUUGGUUCUACCAGAUCCACUCUCACCUGGAGUACACGCCCAGGUCUGGAGAGAAGAUCUCCUGUGUGGUGGAGCACGCCAGCCUGAGAGAACCUCUGGUUACUGACUGGGACCCCUCCAUGCCUGAGUCUGAGAGAAACAAGAUCGCCAUCGGAGCCUCCGGACUGAUCCUGGGUCUGAUCUUGUCUCUGGCUGGAUUCAUCUACUACAAGAGGAAGGCCCGAGGAAGGAUUCUGGUUCCCAGUAACUGAUCCUGGUCCUGAUCCUGGUCCUGGUCCUGGUCCUGUCCCUGGUCCUGUCCCUGUCCCUGUCCCUGGUCCUGUCCCUGGUCCUGUUCCAGUUCCUGUUCCUGUCCCUGGUCCUGGUCCUACUUGCUGUGUUUGGAGCUCAGCAGACUGUCAGUGCUGCCCCCUGCUGGACCAUCUGAACACUGAUUCUCUGAUGAUCUGGACUCUGAUACUGAGCUGGUCUGAACCUGAUCCAGGACAGUCCUGUUGGUUGUGAACCUUUAUGAGGACGGUCCUGGACCAGGUUCAGUGUGGCUCUGGAUCUGGACUCUGAUGCUUUACUGUGUGAAAUCAAUAUUCAGCUUUUUGAAUCCAAUAUAAUCUGGUGGUGUGAAUGAUUUUAUUACCUGCAGUCAGAAACUCUCUGUGGAUUAUUGAUCAGAUAUCAAUCAACAGGAAGUGGAAUGAUCUAUUGAUUCUGUCUGAGAGCUCUGUCAUUGAUUAUAAAGUUCAUAUUAAAGUUUUAAAGACG
Molecule: RNA transcript, 1365 nt
Organism: Dicentrarchus labrax (European seabass)
Lineage: Eukaryota; Metazoa; Chordata; Actinopteri; Moronidae
Gene name: rano class II histocompatibility antigen, A beta chain
Exons: 7
Source: RefSeq, a predicted model, not a curated record